UACGUAGGGCGCAAGCGUUUGUCCGGAAUUAUUGGGCGUAAAGAGCUCGUAGGCGGCCUGUUGCGUCCGCUGUGAAAUCCCGGGGCUUAACCCCGGGCUUGCAGUGGAUACGGGCAGGCUGGAGGCAGGCAGGGGAGAACGGAAUUCCCGGUGUAGCGGUGAAAUGCGCAGAUAUCGGGAGGAACACCGGUGGCGAAGGCGGUUCUCUGGGCCUGUACUGACGCUGAGGGGCGAAAGCGUGGGGAGCGAACAGG
RNAcentral lists this ribosomal RNA (254 nucleotides) under uncultured bacterium. RNAcentral describes it as "partial 16S ribosomal RNA". It matches the Rfam family "Bacterial small subunit ribosomal RNA", at positions 524 to 776 of the family's 1533-position model. The record is from RNAcentral.